GAGGACCCAUAAAUCUUUUCACCACUCUGGAAAGGCCUCGAGCACGUGUCUAGUAUACUAAGGAGGCAGGACGGAGUAUAUACAUUUAGCGAAUACAGGGAGGCAGUUGAUUAUAGAUAACGAUUAUGUAAAACUCACGCCAAUAAUACUAAGCGCUGCAAAGAAAAUUCGCCGAUUUCGCUAUGCAAGGAUAUAAAACUGCCGAUGCAUAUGGGACAGGCAAGACUGCGAAACUCGUUGACAGAUCAAGUGACCUGAGGCUUGUUGCGGUUUGGAGUAAGAACUGGAUAAUUGGCAGAUGGAUUUCGUUGGUCUUUCUAGUAUCUUUUCUGCUGGUAGUGGAUGUACUUUGCUUCCAUCUUCUCCGUAAAUACAACCCAGAAGACACAGUUUAUGGUUUGUUUAUAAUCGGGCUUGGAAGCCUGGUUGGCUUUGGUUUUCUCGGUUCGCAAGCACAAGAACUAAUUCAAGAUGCAAAGACCGUGAAUGAUGUGCCUUCCUGGUGUUAUGGAUUGGCAAGCUCUAGAGGUAAUUAAAGAUUCAAGGGCAGACUGGACUAAGAUAAAAAAUGUCCUUGGUGAUGCAAGACAUUCUAAUGAUAUGCAUGUUAUGACGUAAAUAAAAAAGUUUAAUCCAAGUAAGUGGCUUAGUUUGAAUAGACAUUCUGCAUGUACAAAUGUUUGAAUGUAAUAUUCUUCAAACAAAGUUUGUAUGACUCCCGCUUGUAUUAUAUAUAUAAUAUAUGUGUGUGUGUGUGUGUGUUUGUUUUUUCUAAUAUUUUUGGAAGAAAAUGUUCUAAUAUCUUGUAAGAGAUACAUAAAUUUAACUAGUUGGGCUAGCCGUCGAUGUUGGCUAAUGGUUCAUGGUUGUGGCUAUGGGUUGAGAUGCACUGUUGCACUACUUGGUUAUCUGAUUUGACUCGUGUUAGGUUGCUAUAUGGAUUUAUAUCCUUUAGGUCAUGUCAACGAGAGAUUAUGAGAACAUGAUCUCACGGGGCUUGGCCUAUCAGUUGGAUUAACUGAGUACUAUAUGGUACUUGGCAGGUUGAAGUAUUGUUUAUGGAAUGCGAAUGUGCAGGUUAUAUGGGGGACUCACUUUUUUAUGUUGCAUGAAUAUCCAUUCUACUUGUUUGACCAUCGUGCUUUUCGGUCAGAAACUAUGAGUAGUUGCUUAUUGUCAAGAACAUUUCAAGCUGGCUUCCAGUUAACAAAUCAAUUACAAUUGCUUGUUAUUCUGCAAACUAUUUUCUCCCAUUCCUUCAGGGUUAGAAGGCAUGUUGUUGAAAGAGCAUGAGCAUAUCAUGGAACAUUUUGAUCUAUUACUAUUACUUGGUGCUUGUUGCGGGAAACAGUCUCUGUAUCUUCAUUCAACUACUUGAGAGCCUGGACUCUCUGACAUGAACCUGUGAAUUUAUGUCCUUUUAAAGAAUCUGUAGAGGAGAUAGGUGGUUGAUUGUGCAACCCAUUUCCGCUACUUAUGAAAUUCACCCAUUUCCGCUACUUAUGAAAUUCUGUCACUUCUGCAAAUCCUUCAUCUAAGUUUAUUUGGAAGGAAAACUGUUUUUAGUUAUUCAUUAUGCCUUCUCUUCACUCACGUGGAGAAUUUUUAUGAUUGUGCUCUCAUCAGAAUAUGUUAUGAUGAAACUUCUUUUGAAGUUGGACUGGUUUGAGCAGUCGGAGAUUGAUUUGCAGGAUCAGAAGUGGAGAAAUUUUAUAAUUGUGUUCUCACUAGAAUUUGUUUCCUAUUACUUUUCUAAAGUUGGUCUGGUUUUCUUCGAAGUUGGACUCGUUUGAGCAACCGGAGAUUGACUUUCAGGAUUAGAAUUGUGCUUAACCAACUUCACUAUAAGGCUUGACAAUAUCUGCUUUGUCAGAAUCUGAACUGCAUUUCUUAAUAGUGACAUCUUCGUUUCUAUAAGCCACUCUUCUUCGGCCAUAUAUCCUGCGAAUCUGCGGUUCGAUACGUUUGCCCAGCUUUUUGGCAAUAAAUUCUGGUGGAGGGAAAGUGGACGGUCCACAUUUGCAGGGAUCACUUAUGCGAGACCCUAUUCACCAAUAACAAAAAUCAAGGGGAGUCGGCGUAAUUCCCUUUAAAGCACAAACAAAUGAAUAUGACAUAUUGAUCAAAACUCAUCGAAUAUUGAGGAGAGUUGAGCUUUAAUAUGGUUCAUUGGUCGAAACUUAUUGAAGAUUGAGCAGAGUUGAGCUUUAAUAUGGCUUUGGUCGGACUUGGUUAUCUAAAUGCUGUUCCUUUACUAUUGGUACAUAUGAUGGAAGUUCAAAUCAUCUGAAUUGCAUCUAUCUUCAUCGUUGGGGUUAUCAGAAAUUUACUUAUCCCCACCUAGCUUUGCUUUGCAGUUGCGUGAUCUGUCUCUUACUGCUAUGAACUUGCACAAUAUCUGUGAUGAUAACUCUGUUAGAGAAAGAAGUGACCUGUUGUCGUGUCCGGUUCUAUUGUUUGAUACGUAUUUUACCUGUGUAGUGAUUAAAGUCGGAUAAGUUGUAAGAGCUAAAGGGCUCAGGGUAGAAAGCUACAAUUGAUGGGUCAAUAUACUUGCACCUGGUUCGAAUGCCUUGCCUCACGUGCCUAAUCAGCUGAGGUGUGCGACUUAAUUGAAGCUGUUGUGCAUCGUGCAAAGUGAGGAGGGAUGCGUGCCUUAUAUACUGAUUCAAACUCAUAGUGACAGGGUUAUGCUUUGUUCCUACACUGUUAUAAUCCGACAUC
Molecule: long non-coding RNA, 2724 nt
Organism: Daucus carota subsp. sativus
Lineage: Eukaryota; Viridiplantae; Streptophyta; Magnoliopsida; Apiales; Apiaceae
Exons: 5
Source: RefSeq, a predicted model, not a curated record